UACGAACCGUCCAAACCUUAUUCGGAUUUAUUGGGCUUAAAGGGUAUGUAGGCGGCCCUUCAAGUCGGGUGUGAAAGCCCUCGGCUCAACCGAGGAACUGCGCCCGAUACUGUGGGGCUCGAGGGAGACAGAGGUAAGCGGAACUGAUGGUGGAGCGGUGAAAUGCGUUGAUAUCAUCAGGAACACCAGUGGCGAAAGCGGCUUACUGGGUCUCUUCUGACGCUGAGAUACGAAAGCUAGGGGAGCGAACGGG
RNAcentral lists this ribosomal RNA (253 nucleotides) under uncultured bacterium. RNAcentral describes it as "partial 16S ribosomal RNA". It matches the Rfam family "Bacterial small subunit ribosomal RNA", at positions 524 to 776 of the family's 1533-position model. The record is from RNAcentral.